GUCUUCCCUUUCUCUAGUUCAUGACCAGUUAAAAUGAGCGUAAAAAUUGCAGUUUUCAUGCAGCAUCCCAAAUGACGCACUUAUCAACGCAUUAUGUCGAAUUUGGGGUUCUCUCUGGCUAGAAGAGUGCUGUAAUCAGCAGAGAUUGUUGGAGUGAAGCAGAUAUGGGGCUGAGCUGCUGUAGAAUGGCUGGCCCUUGCCCUCAGUGCAGAGAAAGCUGCGGGGACACCUGCCUUUGUGUCUGCCAUAGAGAGGAGCCCUGUGUGGAAGGCUGCUGUAAUCUGUGCUGUCAGUUCUGUCUGGACAGCUGCUUUCUUAUGUGCUCGGACAACUGCCGCUACACUCUGUGUUUCAUGUGCACCAGGGUCGCCCACUCCUGUGCUGCACUCCUGAGCACGGAGCAGCCCAUAUCUACACAAAAAUGAGAAGAAGUUCCACAGUCUCCUUUCCAAAUGGUAACCGUUUUCAGUAGUUUGCAUGUUAAUGUAAUCCUGAAGAGGAUAGUGUAAACUUGUUUUGGCUCUCUGUUCCUGGCAGAGGGCUCGAGGCAUCGUGACUUAACCCGAGCUCGAAUACCCCCUGGAGUUGUAGAGUUAUUGAUGAGUAGAUGGAGGAGACCUGAAACAGCCCGACUGUUGUUGAUCACUAAGGUUCUCGUUUUGAGGGGGCCAGUUGGUUUAGAUCACUCAGAGUUUACACCUGAAGAACUUAAUGGAAGCUAAUGGGUUAGAUGCAGACCUGUCUCACUUUAACUGAAACCACUUUCUGUAUGCCAAGAGACUGAGAAAAUAUUAAGGAAAUGAUUGUUCUACAGUGUAUUUACUACCUCUGUAAUACAGCCCAUGCAUUGUGUAUAUACUAGGUUGUACCAUUUGUUUGCAUUUGUAUUGCACAUUUAAUAUAUUGUAACACCAAAUACAACUCAUUCUGCAAACUAUAUAAGUGUCAUCUGUGGAAAUUUGUCUAGAUGAUCUAUUCAAAAUGAAAGAACUUGUGCACUCAUGCCAAAAAACAGGUUUCACUGACAUGCUACAAAAUGACUGUGCAUUUUUUUCAGAGGACAGGCAGGAAAAACUUGACUUGCACACCCUGUACAUCUUGCAGUCACAGGGGUAAAGUAUUUAUAUGUAAGAGUCCAUCUGGGUGUGUUUCAGUCCAGCCCUGUCAACAAAACAAGAAAAAUAAUUUGGGUACAUGAAUUUACUUAAAGAAAAGGACUUUUAGAAUUAUUUUUAAAAGGUGAAAAGAGGACAACCACAUACUGUACAAAAGAGAACAGUGGGGGACUGAAAGAAAGAAGAAUCUGAAAUUCUGAAGGCAUUUGGACAAGGUCUGAUCGAGAAGACUGGCCAUGGAGGUGGAUUACAAAGAUCCGCCGCCAAACUAUGAUGACGUUGUUACCCAGCAGCACACAAGCAACACUCAGCAGAGCCACUCGGCUGAUAAGAAGCAGGGAGAGGGCUGCUGUAUGCGAUGCUGCAUGAGUACUAAGAGAUGUUUGAUGAGUGCGGAGUGUGGACGAGCUCUCAACAUCGCCAGCGUGGUUGCCAUGUGUGGGAUGUGUAUUCGAAUGUUUGUCUAACAGAUUUCCUGUGGAUUGUUUCAUCCUGAUCUCUCAUCCAGUGGUGGCCUUCUCAAUUUAAGAAACAAAGACAACUGUUUUGUUCCAAAACCUAGUGAGCUGCCUAUGAGAGUGCGUUCAAGUCCUCCUGGGAAGUUCGUAUUACAAAGUUGGAAAUCGUCUGACAGAACGGACCCGUUCACUUGCUAGCGAAGGCAGGCCACAUAUAAUGAUGCAAAAUGUAGUUUUGUUGCAAACGCUUAUCGCUGCAUAAACCAUAAAAUUGUAUUUUCUGGCAAGUUUUAACGUUAUUCUUCAUUAACAGUGCAAAAAUGCAUACAAACUAAACUGUAGAGUCAAAAUCCACAAGCAAAAUUUAAUUCUUACCAAUAACAAUUUGCUUCCGCCAUUAUUCUUAAAUCGACACACCCCCCAACUCGGAAAGUCAGGGCUCAAAGAAAAUCCUGAGUUCCCCACUCAUGUUCAUGUGCACUUUAACUCUUAAAUACGAUCAUUCCGACAUGACUUGAAACAUUCAUUAGCAACAUUUAUGAGUCUGCCAACACGAAAGUUGUUUUGCCCAUGUAUCUAAGGCAGUAUUGUUUGAAUCAUUCACAGAUAAAGAAAUCCAAGAAUGCACUGCAACUGAAAUUUUCAUAAAAAUUGGCAGAUAGCAUUGAGGGAAAUGGUGAUUAUAAAGUAUAAUUAUAUAUAAUAUUUGUAUAAAGUUGGCAGUAGGCUACUGAUAAAUAUCAUUAGAAUAUAGUUCCAUCUUAUUAAUAAUCCCCUAUUUAACCAAAUAUAUUCACCAGUAUAUUGUUUUACAUGUUAUACUGUAGUAUUGAGUUGUUAGCUUAGCAACAUGCUAAUCUCAAACUGUUGGAAUGAACUGAGUGUUAGUUGAGCCUCUUCAUUUGAAGAUCACAAGUUGGGUGGUGUGCAUAAGCAACCAAUGACAAUUGCUGCUUAUGUGGAAUGUUUUAAAUCACUUAUGAGUUUAGAUUUUAAUUUAGAAUUUUAGGAUGCUGCCUUAGAUGGCAUUUGCAUUCUUAAACAGUAAACAAUGAAGCAGAUUGCUUGGUUUUUGCACAGAGCAUGUUGUCAUGGCCUUAUUCCAGUUCAAUGAAACAAUUAAUUUCACAUACUCUUUAUUAAUAAUGCAUGAUGACAACAGUAGUUAUUAGUCAGAACAGUAUACUCACACCAGUAUUUCUAUCUUUAUUUAAAAUGAAUGUUAAAUUGUGAGAAUGAUCCAGAAUAUACCAUAGAUGCAUCCAUUUAGAAAUGCUCAUUAGAAGAAAGCUUUUUCAUAAAGUGGAAUCAGUCAUGUGAUUGGAUGUGGCAUCCACCUCUGCAAUUCUGUAUCAUAAUUUCGCUACUUUCUAUUUAUGUUUAUCAUUUAUUUCUUCUACAAUGUACUAUUUUAAAGUAAUAUAAAAUUGAAUUAUGUUUAUAGAGAUGUGCUCCUAAAAAUGAAAUGUCAUUGAAGAAGAGGAUGACAAUACUGCCCAACAAAGGUAAAAUGCAGUAAAUAUGCCAACACUGAAAACCAUCUGUCAGCGGACAGAUCAAAGUCUUAGCACCCCAUUCCAACCAAAACAUGAUUUUAUUAAAAUCUACUUUUUUUUUUUUUUUUUUUUUUUUUUUGCACAGCAGCCCAUUAUGUAUUUUAGGAGAUGGGGAAGACGAUAUAUAGUAUAUGUACUGUGUAUCUGGAGCAGUGCUGGGUAUAUUACUUCUGAAUUGUAAUCAUUACCAGAUUACAUGCCUAAAAUUGUAAUCAAUUACAUAAUCUCUCAGAUUGCAUUUUUACAAUGAUCUUAAUCUGAUUGCUUUUGGAUAACUUCUGACCUUCAGUAAUUCUUGUUUAUUUAAUUUCACAUGCAUUUGAGUAGGAUAAACUUGUACCAUUUUUACAUAAUGUUGCUUAUAUGUAUUAAAGAAAACUUACUUAAUGGAUCAUAAUAUGAGAACUGAUAUGAUUUUAUGUGCAUGUAUGUGUUGGUGUGUGCGCAUUCAUGUGCUCAGUACAAAAGCAAUUUGAGUAACUAAAACUAACUGUUCAGAAAUCCCCCCCCCCCCCCACCUUUGAAAGCUGGUUUUCAAAACUUACACCAAAACCCUCUUACGUACAUACAUACAUACACACAUACAUACUUUGAGAUGACACUUUAAAUUUAGCUCAGGUGUGUAAAAAUGUAGAAAAUAUAUAAACAAACAGGCUCACGUUUCAUGCUGUUCUUUUGAAUGGCUAAUGCAGUAAAAUUCUUGAAUUUUAAAUGAAUAAUAGGCUACAUCAAGAUUUUAGGUUAGAAUUUAAUUAGUAGGCUAUAAUCAGCAUAUACAGGUCUUGUAAAAGGUCACCAUUUCCUUUAAGAUUCUUUUAAGAAUUUUUAAGCACAUUUUUAAAUUCACUAGUUCAUUUUAAAUGGUCCAGUGUAACAAUUUUUAAAUGUAUUUAUCUAUUUCAAUUACUUUGAUUUGCGUGCAGCGUAAGGUGGCUUUAAUGUGUUUUAAUAUAUUUUUUUUAUUUUAUUGUCUGUCAAUGUAUGCACAUUCCUUAUAGAGCACACUUGGUCCUCUUAUUGGAGAAUAUGGUUGCUAAUAUUAAGCUCAGUUCUCUGUUAUUGAGCACACGUGUGACUCUUCCUUGUGAUUGGUGCGUGUUGAGUAUUUUGUUGAUAAAUGGUGUUUAUAAAGAGGAUGUUGUUUUUUAUGCAGCAGGAUCAACUCUGCAGCUUUGUUCUCUCUCUCCCAGUUAGUUGUGCAGUUGCGUUUUAUUCUUGCGCCUGUACCCAAUGGUACCAAUAUUAAUCUGUAUAUAUUAUUAAAUUGAAGUGCAUUGAUGUGGUGAUCUUAGUGUAUGAUAAGAGCCUUUCUUGCUGAAGUUAAGGCAUUUAUUUGGGCUUUAAUGGGGUGGUUUAUAAAGGCUUCCAAUUUUAUGUUUUUAAGUGUAUUCAUAAUAAAUUUCCCAUUGCAGGUGUGGUGUGGCCCUGUAAAAUGCUAGCUGCUGUUUCUACAUACCUGUUUCUUCACAUCUGUUCCAGCGUGCUGUUUCAAAGUCACUUCAUUGUUUGUUUUACCAAACUUGUUGCACUACAUUUGUUUCUGCCUUGUAUAGUGCAAAACAUAAAAUAAAGACUGUGUUCUGUAUGUUCCAGAAAUGAGAACCUGACAAAUGUAGGCUAUACAUACAAAAAAUAUUUUAUAAUGAAUGCUUGCCAAAUAAGAUCGAUCUCUAACAAGUUGGGCUCGGGUGCAUUCAAUAAGAAAUCAGAUCUAGAUCAGGUUUCAUGAUAACGUGGGAAAUUGUGCUAUAAAAGUAACUUACUCUUACAUUUACACCAGCAUGUAUAAUCCACAUUAAGUACUGUAGAACUGGAGCUGGCACAUCCAAAGAUGCAAAACUAAAUCUGAAACUUCUACCUUAUCUCCAGAAAUUAGUUGGUUUGUUAUUUGUUUGACAUUCGGUUUCUCCCACCCGUGCUCUCUGGAGCUGACAAUGUUACAACGAUAUCAUUAACAAAAUUAAGUGAAAUAAUAUGUGACUAGAUUAUACAUGCAUGAAACAUUGAAAUCAAAUGGUCAACGCUUGUUGUUGCUGGAGAAUUAUGCCUAAAAAAGCUCCUAGAGUCUUUCAUUGACUAGCACUUGUAAAGGACCAUCGGAAAAUUCCACCCACAGCACUAAAACUUUUUUUUAAUAACAGUGUUUAAGAUAGAACAUGCAAGGCAGUUGAAUUGAACACUUUUACACCAGCGACAUUGUAGCAUAGUGUGUGGACUUUUCAGACGGUCUCUUAUGUACCAUAAGUGAGUAUUUAACUUUACCUGGCAAAAAAGUAUGCAGUCAUAAUGCAUUUGUUUUGUUUAAAUAUAAUUUGUUUGGUUAAUUUACUAUAAUGUGGGGUCACUGAACUCUCAGUGGGAUGGAUUUUGUCUGUUGAUGGUGUAAAUAUGUAAAAACUAGCCCCAGUCUCCCCUACUUAGUUAGUCAGUCAGCCAAAAAGAUAGUUAAGUCGGUGGUGAUACUUUAACUGAAUUUUGUCAGGAAACAGUCAGUCUGUGGUCUUUGAGAAUGUACAUAACUGUAUGAAUAUGAAUUUAGAAUGGUAGAUUAAACCCAUCUGCCUCAUAGCCGCACAUAAACAGUAUUUAAUGAUGGAACACAAUUAAUACCCUCUAAGUUAAGUUGAUCCAACUGGCAUGUUGUAUCUUCUAAAAAAUAUGAUGAAAUCUACGCUGAGCUGUGCAAAAUAAUAAAGAUCUAUCUGACAUUAGCAAAUGCGAAUGAAUGUGAAGUCUUUACUUAGGAGAUUUAAUACAGACGGCAUGUGUUUGCUCUUUGCAGUUUAAUUAGAUGCUAAUUGUCUUAGAGAAAAAUGUGUUUUUAUUAUUUUUCAGUCAUUAAGUGAGAAUUAUUUAUG
Molecule: long non-coding RNA, 5987 nt
Organism: Myxocyprinus asiaticus (Chinese sucker)
Lineage: Eukaryota; Metazoa; Chordata; Actinopteri; Cypriniformes; Catostomidae
Exons: 6
Source: RefSeq, a predicted model, not a curated record